UCGAUGGUAGGAUAGUGGCCUACCAUGGUGGCAACGGGUAACGGGGAAUUAGGGUUCGAUUCCGGAGAGGGAGCCUGAGAAACGGCUACCACAUCCAAGGAAGGCAGCAGGCGCGCAAAUUACCCAAUCCCGAUACGGGGAGGUAGUGACAAUAAAUACUGAUACAGGGCUCUUUUGGGUCUUGUAAUUGGAAUGAGUACAAUUUAAACCCCUUAACGAGGAUCAAUUGGAGGGCAAGUCUGGUGCCAGCAGCCGCGGUAAUUCCAGCUCCAAUAGCGUAUAUUAAAGUUGUUGCAGUUAAAAAGCUCGUAGUU
Molecule: ribosomal RNA, 314 nt
Filed under: Leptocylindrus danicus
Lineage: Eukaryota; Bacillariophyta; Leptocylindrophyceae; Leptocylindrales; Leptocylindraceae
Description: partial Eukaryotic small subunit ribosomal RNA
Rfam family: Eukaryotic small subunit ribosomal RNA
Source: RNAcentral